This 252-nucleotide long non-coding RNA is filed under the name Homo sapiens (human). Its description in RNAcentral is "HSALNT0293612". The record is from RNAcentral. Lineage: Eukaryota; Metazoa; Chordata; Mammalia; Primates; Hominidae.
CUUGCCUGAAACCAUUGGUCCCUAGUUUUUUCAAGACACUUGAAGACCUUUGCCAAAUACCAAACCGAGACCCCUGCCAUCAUUCAACACAAUUGCACAGACGCUAAUCUCUUCAUGGGAAGGCAUGCAUGCCCCACUGCAUCCCUGCAAGUGCAGAACCAGUCUUCAGCAGCGACGCUUAGCGGCUGAAGUGUGAUACAGUUCUGCCGUCCUUUGAACAGUGCAAUUCCUCAGAGUUCCUGGACAAUUCAG